CCUACGGGAGGCAGCAGUGAGGAAUAUUGGUCAAUGGGCGAGAGCCUGAACCAGCGACGUCGCGUGGAGGAUGAAGGAUCUAUGGUUGGUAAACUUCUUUGAUAUGGGAAUAAAGUGAGGAACGUGUUCCUUUUGGUCUGUACCAUAUGAAUACGCAUCGGCUAACUCCGUGCCAGCAGCCGCGGUAAUACGGAGUAUGCGGGCGUUAUCCGGAUUUAUUGGGUGUAAAGGGUGCGUAGUGGGUUCAUUAAGUCAGCGGUGAAAGUUUGUGGCUCAACCAUAAAAUUGCCGUUGAAACUGGUUGACUUGAGUAUAUGUGAGGUAGGCGGAAUGCGUGGUGUAGCGGUGAAAUGCAUAGAUAUCACGCAGAACUCCGAUGGCGAAGGCAGCUUACUAAACUAUAACUGACACUGAAGCACGAAAGCGUGGGGAUCAAACAGGAUUAGAUACCCGGGUAGUC
This 460-nucleotide ribosomal RNA is filed under the name uncultured bacterium. Its description in RNAcentral is "partial 16S ribosomal RNA". It matches the Rfam family "Bacterial small subunit ribosomal RNA", at positions 338 to 795 of the family's 1533-position model. The record is from RNAcentral.